GGGGGGGGGGGGAGAGUGAGGAGGGGGGGGGGGGGGGGGCGGGGGUAUCGUCGAAAAGUCACGGGAUGGUGAUCGGGAAGUCGCUGACCGAUCAACGUCGACGAUGAGGUGGAAGUUUACUUUUAUAAAAAUAAUAAAAUAAAUAAAUUUGUUGAAAAAAAUUCCUUACUUUUUUUAUACAGACUGUUAAAUCUGUCAAAAUGUAAAAAUUUGUGAAAUCUAACAAUUGAAGAUCAUCUGAAUAUCCUGAAACUUUUUUUGCAUGAAUUUCAAACCUGCUCCAAACUACCAUAAUAUUUAAUAAACCAUAUAUUUUUGUGUGAAUUUAAUAAACAUUUUUUUGUGAAUUUAAUAAACCAUAUGAUAUGGAAUAUAGUACCGAAUUAGUCUCGAUUCACCCAUGCCUAGUGAAGGGUCUUGGCCCCCUUUGGGCCCAAAAUACUACUAAGGCCCAACUACCAACACUGUUUAGGCCCAAUUCAAAAUUCAUGAUUUAUAGUGUAUAAAGAAAAAUCACCAUUUGAACUUAUUCAUGGUCGAGACUAAUUGAAUUGUGAUUCCAAUAUUUUAUAAAAAAGAUAAAAAUUAUCCAAUUUAGAUAUUCGGAUUGAAGCGUACCUCAUCAUGUGAAUUGCUUAAGAGUUCAAGAUAUAUCUUGUCUCAGGCAUUCUGAUCUAAUUUUUCAUUUCUCAAAUAUCGCAUCUAAAUGUUCCUUAUUGAGUAUUCCAUCCUAGGCAUAUCACCAUGACAUGUCCAUAGCAUGUCAAUAUGAUACUUAGAUAAUAAGAGAGAGUCGCCACAAGGUAAGCUACACUGAACAAGCCUUUUAACGAUUAUUGUAAGGUUAAUCAUACUAUGUAUUUGAUUCUCUUUAUCCGUUUAUCCUUCUCAUAAUACUUAUAACAUGGUGGUUAAUUCAUGUCCAUUCGAAAUAAACCAAGACCUAUUUAACAAUUUUCGCCUAACCUCCUUAAAAAUAUUAAUCAAUACCCUAAAUCAGAAUCUAUUAUUGAUAAAAAAAAUUCAAUCAGACGAGACGGAACAAUUAGCACGCUAGAAAGGUGGUUAACUCGGAACUCUAAGACAGGAAAUCUGUCAACCCUUUGGACUUCCCAAGUUCAUUUCAUUAUUGUUUUUUUCUCCAAAGUGUUCAUCAUUUUUGAAACCGAAAGGAAGAGAAAACCUUUGAAAGUCACCACCUUCCCAUCGCCUCUCUGCUUGUGUGCAACACACUCACACUAACCUUUCCUGGCUCCCAUCUCUCUCUCUGUGGUAAUAAUCCUUAUGACAUAACUCGUAAUUACAUAUACAUAUAAAACAGUAAUUCGUAAUCAGAAGAUUCAGAACACAGGAGAGAAAGGGAAGGAGAGGGAGGAACAAAAAGAGAAGAACAAAAAGAGAAGAACAAAAAAAGAAAAGAGAAACAGAAUGGAAAAGGGAGAGAGCCAUUAGCUUAGCUGCCCAACCUCUUAUUCUUCCCUUGUUGUUGCUACUGUGAGGGCCUUUCUUCUCCUCCUCUAUCAGAUCUUAGAUAUUCUGGAUCACUCUUCCUCAUCUGGCUUCUCUUUCUCUCCGAUCAACUAGCUUUGCUCGAAUCUCUAUCAUCUUCCCCCAGCCAGAAAAGAACGGAUAAAAAGUGAGUGAAAGAGAGUGAAAGCCUCCUCUUUUCUGUGUAAUUCCGAUCUGGGUUUGGAUCUUAUUACACAUUUCUAGUUCAAGUUUUGUUCUUUGCUUCAUUUGGAUUGCUGGGUCGAUCGGUUUCUUUUGGACCUCUUUCCUCUAGGAUUGAAUCAGUUAAGAGUACCCACUUGAAAUAUUCUAUCUCUGUAUAUAUCUGAGAUUUCCUGCUUGAUUUCUGUAUCACAAGGUAUUCACCAUUUCCUUCCACCCACAUUUUGAUGUUUGGCCUAUCUGGAUUGUGUUUGAUCGAGUUGCUCCUCCCUAAACAUGUGUUGAGUCGUUGAAAUGAUUGUUCUGUAGACUGGAUAGUGUGUUGGUUGACGGAUCCCGAUGUUUAAUUAUCAGAAUUGAGAAAGGCCAUGUAGUCUUGUCGAAUUCUUCAGGGUUCUGAUUGGUUUUUCUGGCUUAAAAUUUGAAUUUUUGUAUGGCAGGAUCUGGAAUGGAUCUUGGAAAGCUUUUCAUUGGCGGAAUUUCAUGGGACACAAAUGAAGACCGGCUUAGAGAGUAUUUCCAGGCUUUUGGGGAAGUCUUAGAAGCUGUGAUCAUGAAGGAUCGGUCCACUGGACGUGGCCCUGGUUUUGGAUUUGUUGUGUUUGCUGACCCUGCUGUUGCUGAGAGAGUUGUGGUGCAGAAGCAUCUCAUUGAUGGUAGAACUGUAAGUUGAAAGAUGCUACCUUCUUUCUUCAAAUGAUUUCACGAUCUAGUUCGGUCUUGUGUCGUUACUAUUUGAAGGCAGUGUCUUUGUUGCAAGCGAACUCUUUUUUGUAGCUUGUGGUGUAUUAGAGAAAGGGAUUGAUUUGAUCAUGAAACUUAACAAAUGGCAUUGAAGAUGUUUUGAAUUAUGGAGUUGAAGCUCUAGAGGUUUUUCGUUUUACAAUACUUGGCUGCUUGUUCAGUGUACAUUGAGCAAUUUGAAGGUGUUGAUGAACAUGAAUUGAUGACCCUAAAAUUGCUAAAUCGUGGAGAAAAUGAUGAGUUGAGAAAUUGUUCUCAGAUUAUAGGACUACAUGGACUAUCUAGAUUGAAAUGGAUUGUAGGCUCGAAGUAGUUUAAGUGUGAGUUAGCGCACCCUAUCUUUACUGGUUCUAGUUAGCGCACCCUACCUUUUUUAGGCUUCUGAACAAUUUGAUAUCGACGAGAUUAGCAUAUCUGAGAAAUGGUCCUGGCAAAAACAAGAUUGUCUCAACUUUCAGAGAACAUAAUAUACAUCUGUAAACGAUAAUCUUUGUUGAUCUCAGAUGACAUUGAAGGCUGCAUGCUAUAAUUACCAUAAUUUGGCUGUCAUCUUUUUAUUGACAAGGUUUUGGUUACCAGGUUGAGGCGAAGAAAGCAGUACCUAGGGAUGAUCAGAACAGUCUGAGCAGAAGCAACACAAACAGCAUUCAAGGAUCUCCUGAUCCUGCUAGGACAAAAAAGAUUUUUGUAGGAGGUUUAGCGUCCACUGUGACAGACAGUGACUUCAAGAAUUAUUUCGAUCAAUUCGGUACAAUCACCGAUGUUGUGGUUAUGUACGACCACAACACACAAAGGCCAAGAGGUUUUGGAUUUAUUACUUUCGAUACUGAGGAAGCUGUGGAUAAAGUGCUGCACAAAACAUUCCAUGAACUCAAUGGAAAAAUGGUGGAGGUCAAGCGUGCUGUUCCAAAAGAGCUAUCCCCUGGGCCAACCAGGAACCAAUUAGCUGGAUAUAAUAAUGGCAUGAGCAGAGUCAAUAGUUUCCUGAAUGGUUAUUCUCAGAUUGGAAGUCCUGGACUUAGAAUGGACAGCAGAUUCAGUCCGAUUACUGCCAGUCGAAGCAGCUUUUCUCCUUUCAAUUCUGGUUAUGGAUCAGGUUUAAAUUAUGUGCAGGGACUGAGUCCAAGUUACGGUGGUAAUGGUAAUCUCAGCUCUAACAUAGGCUUUGGAAGGUUGAGUCCUUCAUUCAGUGGAAGUCCAAGCAGGUACGCUGCCCCCAUUGGUUAUGGGGCUGGCAAUGGGAUGAACAAUUCUGUUUCUCGUACAUUGUGGAGCAACGAUAACAUUCUAAACAAUUCGAACUCUAACGGUACCAACGCAUUUAUGAACACUGGAGGUUGGAACUCGGGUCUGGGCUCCUUUUCCAGUUCUGCAGGAGCUCUUUGGGAUCUCUCCCCCAACAUUGGCCAAGGAGGUGGUAAUGGCUCUGUCUAUAACAAUGGCAGUGGGGACUUUAGUGUUGGUCUAGGAGGAGGAGCAGGUUAUGGAAGAAAUAGUGGGACAAAUUUCGCACCGGGAUCAUCCCGUGCUGGUGCGAACGGGGGUUAUGAAAAUGCUUACGCUGACAACAUUUAUGAAAACGGUUCGCUUUACGGAGCAGAUCCCUCUUGGCGAUCUUCUUCAGCUUCUGAGUUGUUUGAUUUCGGCAUCGGAAAUGCAGCUUCCGAUGUUAUUACUAAGAAUCCCGCUCCUUACGCUGAUGGUUAUAGCAUCGCUGAUAGACAGAAGAUGUAAGUGCUUUUUAUAUGAGACUUACUGAUACGGUUUAGUGAUAGUGUUAUGCUCUGUAUUAUGUUACUGAACUGGUUUAUCAGCAAUACUUGUUGCAUCACCCUUAUCUGUCUCGGUUAUUUUAGCAAACUUUCAUGUAUGACAACAAGAUCAUUGAUUUGCUGGCUGAAACUGGUCUUUUUCUUUGGUUUUGUCUGGUAUUCUGUUUCAGGAAUGGCAGCUUAGGAUCAAAGAAGGAUUAUAGGUGAAAGAAAGUAAUACCAUCAUAUUUGAAGUAAAUUUGGUACAUUAUUACCUCUUCUGGAAAAAAACGAAAAAAACACCCCUUUUUGUUGUUUGAGACGAUCUCCAAUGCAUAGUCUUAAAUGGUCAAAGUGCUAAAUUAUAAGAUUAAAACUCCUCCAAUGCAUAAAGUUAAAAUCUCUGAUAUGAGUUCUAAAUAUAAGACUAUAUAAUUGAAAUAAAACACCUUUUAACUAUUCUAAAAUAUCGAAUUUAAGAUUUUGAAAUAGCCAUUUAAAACUUAACAUUGAACAUGAUCUUUAAAUUAGAAACCAAUCCAUUUUAUCACUUAGUGUUAUCAAAAUGAUGAAUAGGGAGAGCAGAGAACAUUGAGUCGGAAGGAAUUUCUUGUGUAAGGUUUGAGCUUUCGAGGGAGUUUUAUUUUAAUAUAUAUAUAGGCGGGGUUCUUAGUUCUUACAUAUCCAUUUUCUUUUGCUAGAGAAAUUGAGUUGUUAAGAUGUACAAUCAGAGUUCGAGGGAGGGUAUACAUCAGGAAUACUGUACCGGGGAAACCUAGAUUAUAAGAACAAGAAGAUUUUUGUUUUACUGGGUUUUUUCUACAUGCUUGUUUCUUUCUUUGGAAGCCAAUGGUUUUACUCUGUACUUGUUCAUCAAGUUAAAAGAGCUGUCCUUUUGGCGACAGCACAACUGUUAGUCCUUGUCAAGUGCGGAGUCUGGGUUUCUUGAUUACCACUUCACUUCCGCAAUGAUUGAAAAUUUGGUUUUCAAUUAAUUGAUAAUGAUCUUCAUAUUCUACGAAUUGGUCACUUGAUUAUAUCUUUUCCUACAUACUUAUUCAUAGCUUUCAUACAAACAAUUGGAAAAAUGCACAUGUUUAGUUAGUUGGUAAGUAGUUUAGCUCUAUUUUCCUUCAUUGUUCAUGGUCUGGUCUCCAAUCUUGUUGGUUGAAUAGUGGACUCAUAUUAGUAUUGUAAAUUGAGUAGAACUUUAAGAAUACGACCCUGAAAUUUCAUAUAACUAUUUGGUGUGGGCUUAAAAAAACAGUAGCAAUGUUUAAGGGAGAAAGUAACUCAUGCUCUUAGAGCAUGACAACUACCCACUAAGUUAGCUUCGAUCAGGAGGAUGAGAUCAUAUUAGGUUUCUUUAGUGAGAUAAAUGGAUUCGAAUUAGUGGGUAAAAAUAGGAUAAAUGAGUGUCUACGUUAAUCCGAAUGAACAAUGGAUAUCAAUGAUUAGUAUCUUCGAUUAUUCUGACCCGUUACAAGUUAUCUAUAUUAAUUAUCCACAAAAAAAUAAUGAUAGAGGGUGUAAGUACUCUCAAUCACCGCAUAAUUAACUCUAUUUACACUUGGAAUAAAACAAGUUUCAUUUAAAUGGACCAAAAUCCUACCCUGCCCAAUUUUAAAUAGAUUAGAUUUUGAUCCAUUCAUUUGAUUUGAAUAUUUCAUUUUAUGUAAUCUAUUAGGAUGAAUCGGAGGGAUAUUCAUAGAUCUGGACAAAACUGUCACCUCGUAAAAAACAUUUAUGAUUAAUUGACCAUUUUGUACAAAAACAAAGUUAGUUCAUCAUUUUGUAAGAGGUUAUAGCCUAUAGGAAGGUGUGACUACUAAUCAAUUGAAAAACACAAAUUUCAUUCAAAAACAUGGGUGACUUAAUAUUUCACAAUCAAUUAUAGUUAUCAUGAAUUUGUCAUCAAUUCUUUGAUUCAUGAUAUCGUUUCAUAUCAUAAAAUUGGCGACUUUAGUAUACUACCAAAAGUAGAAAAAAAACCACUUUACAGAGUAAAACCAUUGGUUUCCAAAGAGGGUAAUAGUAAAAUCAUUGCAGGCAGCCGUAAUUUAGAAAUCCGCACUUGACAAGGACUAACAGUUGUGCUGUCGCCAAAAGGACAAAUCUUUUAACUUGAUGAACAAGUAACAACCCAGAAAACAAGAAAGAUAUAGAAAAACACCGAACUAAAACAAAAUCUUCUUGUUCUUAUAAUCUAGGUUUCCCCGGUACAGUAUUCCUGAUGUAUACCCUCCCUCAAACUCUGAUUGUACAUCUUAACAACUCAAUUUCUCUAGCAAAAGAAAAUGGAUAUGUAAGAACUAAGAACCCCCACCUAUAUAUUAAAAUAAAACUCCCUCGAAAGCUCAAACCUUACACAAGAAAUUCCUCCCGACUCAAUGUUCUCUGCUCCCUAACCAGUUCAGUACCAUAAUACAGCAUAAACCCAUCACCAAAUUAACCGUAUCUGUGCAGAAUACAAAGCACUUACAUCUUCUGUCUAUCAGCAAUGCUAUAACCACCGCCGUAAGGCGCAGAAUUCUUAGUACUUAGAUCAGAAGCUGCAUUUCCAAUUCCGAAAUCAAACAACUCAGAAGCUGAAGAAGAUCGCCAAGAGGGAUCUGCUCCGUAAAACGAACCGUUCUCAUAAACGUUGUCAGCGUAAGAACUUUCGUAACCCCCGUUGGCGCUAGCACGAGAUGGCCCCGGUGCAAAAUUUGUCCCACUGUUUCUUCCAUAACCUGCUCCUCCUCCUAGACCAACACUAAAGUCCCCACUUCCAUUACCACCACCUCCUUGGCCAAUGUUGUGGGACGAAUCCCAAAGGGCUCCUCCAGAACUGCCAAAGGAGCCCCCCAGCCCCGAAUUCCAACCUCCGGCGUACAUAAAUGCGUUGGAACCGUUAGAGUUUGAAUUGUUCAGAAUGUUAUCGUUGCUCCACAAUGUACGAGAAACAGAAUUGUUCAUCCCAUUGCCAGCCCCGUAACCAAUGGGGUUUCCAUACCUGCUUGGAUUUCCACUGUAUGAAGGACUCAACCUUCCAAAGCCUAUGUUAGAGCUGAGAUUAGCAUUGCCACCAUAACUUGGACUCUGUCCCAGCUCGAAAUUUAAACCUGAUCCAUAACCAGAAUUGAAAGGCGAAAAGCUGCUUCGAUUGCCAGUAAUUGGACUGAAUCUGCUGUCCAUUCUAAGUCCAGGACUUCCAAUCUGAGAAUAACCAUUCAGGAAAUUAUUGACUCUGCUCAUGCCAUUAUUAUAUCCAGCUAAUUGGUUCCUGGUUGGCCCAGGGGAUAGCUCCUUUGGAACAGCACGCUUGACCUCCACCAUUUUUCCAUUGAGUUCGUGGAAUGUUUUGUGCAGCACUUUAUCCACAGCUUCCUCAGUAUCGAAAGUAAUAAAUCCAAAACCUCUUGGCCUUUGUGUGUUGUGAUCGUACAUAACCACGACAUCAGUGAUUGUACCAAACUGAUCGAAGUAAUUCUUAAAGUCACUGUCUGUCACAGUGGACGCUAAACCUCCUACGAAAAUCUUUUUUGUCCUAGCGGGAUCAGGCGAUCCCUGAAUGCUGUUUGUGUUGCUUCUGCUCAGACUGUUCUGAUCAUCCCUAGGUACUGCUUUCUUCGCCUCAACCUGGUAACCAAAACCUUGUCAAUAAAAAGAUGACAACCAAAUUACUGUAAUUACCACAUGCAGACUUCAAUGUCAUCUGAGAUCAACAAAGAUUAUCGUUUACAGAUGUAUAGUCUGUCCUCUGAAAGUUAAGAAGCUAUAGAAGAUAAAAUUAACACCUAAUGGCUAAUAUACUGUAUGUAGCCCUAUCAUUGAGAACAACUUCUCAACUCAUCAAUUUUUCAUUAACACCUAAUAUUGUUCAAUGAAUACAGAGCAAGAAUCCAAUUAUCGUAAAUAGAAGACCAUUAAGUUUUAAAUUACAAUUCAACUCAAUUUCAAGUUCAGUCAAAGCCAUGCUAAAUCCACCUGGUCCAUACCAAGUUUCAUGAUCAACCAAAUCCCUUUUUCUAACAACUAGGUGGAUUUAUCAUGCCCUUGACUAAACUAUUAAGUGUUAACGAGAAAAGAUGAGUUGGGAAGUUUUUCUCAAUGAUAGUGCUACAUACAUUGCACAGAUUGGCAGGGAUAAGUGAUGAAAAUCGAUUGUAGGUUCCACGUAGUUGAAGUACUAGUUAAGUCUCUAUUGGUUCUAGUUAGCUCAGCCUACCUCAAUUUGAUGUCAAUGAGAUUAGCAUAUAUGUAUGUUUACUUCAAGCUGCAAAAGAAGUUCGAUUGCAACAAACACAAUGCCUUCAAAGACUGAUGACACAGGGCCAACCCGAAUUGUAAAUUUAUUUGGAGAAAAAAGUUAUCUUCUUGAACUUACAUUUCGGCCAUCAAUGAGAUGCUUCUGCACCACAACUCUCUCAGCAACAGCAGGGUCAGCAAACACAACAAAUCCGAAGCCACGGGCACGUCCAGUGGACCGAUCCUUCAUUAUGACAGCUUCCAAGACUUCCCCAAAAGCCUGGAAAUACUCUGUAAGACGGUCUUCAUUCGUGUCCCAUGAAAUUCCACCAAUGAAAAGCUUUCCAAGAUCCAUUUCCAGAUCCUGCCAUUCAAAAAUUCAAAUUUUGAGCCAGAAAAACCAAUCAGAACCCUGAAGAAUCCGACAAGACUACAUCGUCUUUCCUCAAUUCUGAUAAUUAAACAUCGGGAUCCGUCAACCAACACACUAUCCAGUCUACAGAACAAUCAUUUCAACGACUCAACACAUGUUUAGGGAGGAGCAACUCGAUCAAACACAAUCCAGAUAGGCCAAACAUCAAAAUGUGGGUGGAAGGAAAUGGUGAAUACCUUGUGAGACAGAAAUCAAGCAGGAAAUCUGAGAUAUGUACAGGGAUAUAAUAUGUCAAGUGGGUACUCUUAACUGAUUCAAUCCUAAAGGAUAUUGGUCCCAAAAAAACCGAUCGACCCAGCAAUCCAAAUGAAGGAAAGACCAAAACUUGAACUAGAAAUGUGUAAUAAGAUCCAAAACCCAGAUCUCAAUAACACAGAAAAGAGGAGGCUUUCACUCUCUUUCACUCACUUUUUAUCCGUUCUUUUCUGGCUGGGGGAAGAUGAACCAAAAGAUAUAGAUUUGAGGAAAGCUAGUUGAUCGGAGAGAAAGAGAAACCAGAUGAGGAAGAGUGAUCGGAGAGAAUAUAUUAAGAUCUGAUAGAGAGGACGAGAAGAGGCCUCACAACAGCAGCAGCAACAACAAGGGAAGAAUAAGAGGUUGAGCAGCUAAGCUAAGCUAAGCUAAUGCUCUCUCCCUUUUCCUUCGGUUUCUCUUCUCUUUUUUUCUUCUUUUUUUCUUCUUCCUCCUCCUUCCCUUUCUCUCUUGUCUUCUGAUUACAAAUUACUGUUUUAUAUCUCAAUUGGGAUGUAUAUCUAAUUAUUUAAUAAAGGAUCUGGAUUUGGUAUUACCAGAGAGAGAGAGAUGGGAGCCAGGAGGAAGUGUGAGGAGACAAAAGGGCCGAAAGGUUUGUGUGUGUUGUUUACAAGCCGAGAGGCGAUGGGAAGGUGGUGAAUUUCCAAGUUUUUUUCUUCUUCUUUCGGUUUCAAAAAUCAAUGAACAAUUUGGAGUAAAAAACAACGAUGAAAUGAAUUUGGUAGUCUUAAUCCAA
This 9817-nucleotide long non-coding RNA is filed under the name Linum usitatissimum (flax). RNAcentral describes it as "long non-coding RNA (LUSI_LNC005433)". The record is from RNAcentral. Lineage: Eukaryota; Viridiplantae; Streptophyta; Magnoliopsida; Malpighiales; Linaceae.